CUCUGUGACUCCUACGGGAGGCAGCAGUGGGGAAUAUUGUACAAUGGGGGAAACCCUGAUGCAGCCAUGCCGCGUGUGUGAAGAAGGCCUUCGGGUUGUAAAGCACUUUCAGUAGGGAGGAAGGUAGUGUAGUUAACACCUGCACUAUUUGACGUUACCUACAGAAGAAGCACCGGCUAACUCCGUGCCAGCAGCCGCGGUAAUACGGAGGGUGCGAGCGUUAAUCGGAAUUACUGGGCGUAAAGCGCAUGCAGGCGGCCUGUUAAGUCAGAUGUGAAAGCCCGGGGCUCAACCUCGGAACUGCAUUUGAAACUGGCAGACUAGAGUACUGUAGAGGGGGUAGAAUUUCAGGUGUAGCGGUGAAAUGCGUAGAGAUCUGAAGGAAUACCGGUGGCGAAGGCGGCCCCCUGGACAGAUACUGACACUCAGAUGCGAAAGCGUGGGGAGCAAACAGGAUUAGAUACCCUGGUAG
Molecule: ribosomal RNA, 472 nt
Filed under: uncultured bacterium
Lineage: Bacteria
Description: bacterial SSU rRNA
Rfam family: Bacterial small subunit ribosomal RNA
Source: RNAcentral